RNAcentral lists this ribosomal RNA (1230 nucleotides) under marine metagenome. RNAcentral describes it as "bacterial LSU rRNA". It matches the Rfam family "Bacterial large subunit ribosomal RNA", at positions 1364 to 2663 of the family's 2925-position model. The record is from RNAcentral.
GUAAAUCCGCCCAGGGUUAGGCGGGACCUAAGGCGAGGCCGAAAGGCGUAGUCGAUGGACAGCUGGUUAAUAUUCCAGCCCCGUCAUGUAAGGUUGAAUCUACGGUGCGGAUCUUGAAGUUCAGCGGGACAGUGAAGCGUCCAGGCCCUUGAGGCCGUUGCUGGGUAGAUAGGUUCCAAGAAAAGCCGUUCGAUGACGAACAUGACGCCCGUACUAAAACUGACACAGGUAGGUGUGGCGAAUAGCCUCAGGCGCUCGAGAAAAUGGUUGUGAAGGAACUAGGCAAAUUGACCCUGUAAGUUCGCGAUAAAGGGGCCCUAUCCAAUUUGGAAGGGCGCAGAGAAAAGGCUCUGGCGACUGUUUAUCAAAAACACAGCACUGUGCUAACACGCAAGUGGACGUAUACAGUGUGACUCCUGCUCGGUGCCGGAAUGUUAAGGAAGCAGGUUAGUCCUUUAAUGGGCAAAGCUUGUGACUGAAGCACCGGUAAACAGCGGCCGUAACUAUGACGGUCCUAAGGUAGCGAAGUUCCUUGUCGGGUAAGUUCCGACGUGCAUGAAUGGAGUAACGACUGGAGCACUGUCUCCACAACCAACUCGGUGAAAUAGUAGUGGCGGUGAAGAUGCCGCCUACCCGCAGCAAGACGGAAAGACCCCGUGGACCUUUACUGCAGGCAUAUAUUGGUCAUGGACCUGUACUGCGUAGGAUAGGUGGGAGGCUUUGAAGCUGAGUUUUCGGACUUGGUGGAGCCAUUCUUGAAAUACCACCCUGUGCUAGUUUGUGGCCUAACCCCGAUUCCCAUGAAGCUGGGCGGGGGACCAUGUAUGCUGGGCGGUUUGACUGGGGCGGUCUCCUCCUAAAAGGUAACGGAGGAGCGCAAUGGUUGGUUCAGCGCGGAUGGAAACCGCGUGUUGAAUGUAAGAGUACAAGCCAGCUUUACUGUGAGUCAUACAGGACAAACAGUCUCGAAAGAGGGCUCUAGUGAUCCUGCAAUCCCGUGUGGAAGGGUUGUAGCUCAACGGAUAAAAGGUACCCCGGGGAUAACAGGCUUAUCGCUCCCGAGCGUCCAUAGCGGCGGAGCGGUUUGGCACCUCGAUGUCGGCUCAUCACAUCCUGGGGCUGUAGGCGGUCCCAAGGGUUGGGCUGUUCGCCCAUUAAAGUGGUACGCGAGCUGGGUUCAGACCGGCGUGAGCCAGGUCGGUCCCUAUCUGCUGUGGGCGUUGCAUUAUU